CCCAAACAACCUGAGUACCUCCAACUUUGAAAAGCCAGAUAUCAACUGAUGUGGAAUUAUAGACAAAAACCGUGUAUAGUCCAAGUUCAAAUAUCUCAACUUCUCCAACGCCUUCAGCUCUUGCGGCAACCCGCGUAUACCUGAGGGUAGUUUCCUUAGGGAAAUAUUUAUUCGUAGACUUAAUACUCUAAGAGUCGACAUAGAUUGAAAGAAGCCAUCAGUAAUCUCCUCAAUCCGAUUUUCAUCCAGAAGUAAAGUUAUCAGACGUCGACACGUGGGAAUUUCCGAUAGGCAUUCAAUUCCAGUUGCCAUCAGAGAUACCCGUUUGGCACCUUCCCAUUCUUCAAACUUUGGUGCUUCGGUCAAUUCAACUCCAGCGUGAACCAGAAAGUUCUGCUCCUCCUUGUCUACCGUGCACGCUAUCCAUAAUGACAUCUCACGAAUCAUAUCGUGCAUCUUUACAUGAUCAUCGCCUUCUUCCUCCAAUAAGCAUGCUUGAAGAAGGUCAUCAAUAAAAUCGCAUCCAUCAUCAAAAUCACACACAAAUCCUUCACUAAUCCAGUAAUCAAUCAAUUGCCUUUUAGGAAUUUCGGAGUCUUCAGGGUACAAACAACAAUACAGGAGACAGGAACGAAGUUCGUCCGUAGACAAACUAUCAUAGCUGAACUUUAAACGCGAAAACACCUCUUCUUUCAUACCUGAGAAUUUAGAAGCUGAUGUUGUCAUUUUGUGAAUUGCACGUUUCCAAUCUCCAACUUUCCUUUGGCUUUUCAUGGCUCGACCCACUGUUUUAAGCGCUAGCGGCAACCCACCACACUCUCUUGCCAGGGUUUCGGCUAGCCCUGGAAUACUGGUAUGACUGUCAAGAGUGGAUCUUUCGAUCAUCUCCUGAAAUAAUUUCCAGGCUUCAUCAUGUGCCAAACUAGACACUUCCACCUUUUCAGCGUCCAUUUGAUCGCAAACCCCAGCUGAACGAGUUGUCAAGACUAUUUUGGACCCAUCAUUUAGAUUUUGAAGAGGGACACCCAGCUGUGUUAAAUCAAUGGGCUCCCAUAUAUCAUCUAAUAACAACACAAACUUCUUUCCGCUUAGAAUGCUAGCGAUGUCCACAGCCUUGUCUUGAAGACUUUUUUCCUCCCAGCUUUGGUCUUCUGAAAAGCCAAUCCUUUUUCCAAUGUCAUCUUGAAGUGUUGACACAGCCGCCCAGAUAACAACAUCAAAAUUAUGCUGUUGAUGGCAGAAGUUGUUGUUGACUUGUUUUAAAAGGGUAGUUUUGCCGACUCCCCCUAUACCAUACAAGCCGAUAAUUCCCCUGUUCUUUUCCUGAUCAGUGAUACAUCUCCAAACUUGAUCAAGUAAUAGUUCUUGACCAACAACUGUGUGAUCAAGAGGUAAUUCAAUUGCUGCACCAUCUGGCGCCUUCUCAACAACGACUUCAAAUUUUUCUCCGUCUUUCUUUAAAUUGAUCACUCGAUCCGUCAACUCGACCACCUGAGUCCCGUAAUUGUAGCUUGAAACGAAGUUUUUGGAACAGAGGCCUCCAAGGCACAAUCUAUCCAUUUCUUGAGCUCUAACUCGUUCGAGCUCGGUAAAUUCAGUUUCCAGUUUUUGCACAUCUUCAAGCCACCCUGCGACCUGGUUCGUUCGUCUGGUUCGAGGUCGUUGUUCUUCGACCUCAACCUUGGUCUUCAGAUCGUCCCUUGCUCGAGUCAAUUUGUGCAAUUCAGUCUCCAAGACCCGAAGAUUUUUUUCGAGACCCCAUACAUAUUUUGCUUGUUCACCAACGCAGUUUGAAGUUCGAUCAAAUAAGUCUGCUGGUAAGAAGGUUGAGAUUAAGUUACCCAUUGUCGUUGACGAAAAGAGGAAGUGAAGCAAUGGGUACAAUGAAAAGAAUUAAGCUAAUUUGGUGAGGGUCAUUUUACUUAAAUUCUUAAGAAUUGCUUUCAAAUGCAAACAGAGUAUGAGAAUCAGGCCUUUAUUGAUUAUGAUGACUUGAAUGAAAAUGAAAUACAGAGCUUUGCUAGUUUACAUACAGAGACAAAAAAUAAUGACAGCUAGCCUAAGGGGUAUUACACGGAAGUAAUCAAAAUUGAUCCGUGAAUAUAGCAAUUGUGAACCAAUCACAUUAAGCUUCUAGAAGAUGCAACUAUUCAAUGCACAUGCGCUGCUAUUCUUCAACAUAACAGUUUUGCCAGCUCAACAAAUCCAACUCACAGAAUCAAGGUCAACCGUUGACUCUUCACAGCUGCUGCUUUCAACAAUUUUUAGAGAACCACAACACCAAAAUAAAAAUAUGAUACAUUUGUUGCUUUAUUCAUGUUUCAAAUAUCAAGAAUAUAAUGAUACGUUUGCACGUCAUAUAAAAUUUGUAAUUCUUUCAGUAAUGACAGAAUUAAUAUUAAAUCUUAUCAUUAUUAUUUAAGUGAUAUAUUUAUAUUGAGAAUAUUUAUUUAGAAUAAAAAUUUUGUGCCUUAACUUUGGAUAAAGAUUCAAAAUAUUAAGUCAAUGAUAGCUAGAUAAAAAAUUAAAAUAAAAUAAAUUUUAACAAUAAUUUUUUAUUUAAUAAAAAAUUAGCCUACCCUCCAGAACAUUAACACCACCACCACCAUCACCACCCCACCAAUCAUCUCACUCUCAAAACUCUCCAUUUUUGCCUCCACUAAUUCCCACUCUCUCCAAAACCCUUCUUUCUUCCUCUUCUCGUUUCCUCUCUCCUGCCCCUGGUACGCCAAUUUCCAUUCUCUCGCUUUUUUUUUGGCAAUUUUGGCUUGAGUUUUUUGGGUUUUUGGUAAUUUAUCUUUAAUUUUUGUGGGUAUCCUUCGUUUUUUUAGUUAUCAUACAUGAGUUGAGUAGUCGUAGACGAUUUUUUAUUGUUUUAAACUGAACGGAUUCUUUGUAUUUCGAAAAUGAAAUUCAUUGUUUGUGAAGUAACUUUUAAAGCUGUUGAUUUGAGUUUGAAAACUUAAUAUGCUUAAAUUUGUCUAUGUGGAUUUGAAUCAAUUAGACAAGCAGCACAGGAGAGCCAAUCGAGCGCGGAGGUGAAUGCCGAUAGAAGAGAAUGGUUUAUGCAAGGUACAUUAAUAGUAAUUUGAUCUGAUGCCAAUUUUAUUUCUAUAUUAAUUUAUUAGAUUAUGUAAUGUUAUAAAUUCUUUGUUCAAAAUGUAGAGCUUGGAAAUUUAGUCGAUACAUUAUGGUAAUGAAUGUAGCUUGUGUAUCUGUUCAAAUUUAUGUCUAGCUUUGCUGUUUUGGUAAUGGUUUGUUUAGUAUAAAUUUUGUGUUGGUUAUGAUGUUGUUUAGUGGUUUGGAUCACUCGUGCUCUUUUGCCCCCCACUAAAAUUAAUCUUUAUGAGUUAAGAUUCCCUGUAGCGAGUAUAUCCUUUGGUGCAUAAGAGUUUAAGUGAUUAUCGUCAUUGUUGAGUUAAACAAUGGGAUUAAUUUUCAUGUUCAUGUAAGGUGAUCAUCGCUAAAGUUAGAGCCAUUACGUGAUAAAUUGAUAAUUCAUUGUGUUGUUAUGUUUGUUAUACUGGGUAAAAAUCCCAGUGAUAGAAUUCAUGUUAAGCGGUUUUGGGUCUCAUUCAAUCCCAACCCAAAAGAUGGAUAAGGGGUGAGACUUUCCCUCACACUUGUAAAAUCACCACCAUCCUAGUUCACAACCGAUGUAAGACAACCCAACAAUCUCUCCCUCACAUAUCGGGCCUUGGUUCAAAAGCAUGGACACUCAUUUUCGCUAGUAGAUUGUUGGAAUGAGAUGUUGAUGAAUCUUUUAGUUGAUUUUUUUUUUUUAUAAAAAGGAAAAGAUUAUGAAGAGAUAAAUACAAUAAAAAAAAGAGAUUAAUAUUGUAAUAAAACAUUUAUGUAGUGAUAUUUUAUAUAAAAAUAAUUUCAUAUAGCUAUAAAAGUACUGGUCCUAAUUUAUAUUAGGCCAAUUAUAAAUAAAAAUAAAUUUCAUGCUGUAAUAAUUUAUAAUUUUGCUAAAUCUCACCUUAAGGAGCUCACUUCCACGUAGUGUAAAUAUAUAUAUAGAAAAAAAAAAUAUGUUAUAUUACAUUAAGUGAACUUGGGGGUUGUUUGGUACCCCUCUUUACCUGGGAUUGCAUUGUGUUAGCAAUGCAACCCCAUGUUUGGGGUACCAAAUGGCUAUAUUAGCUAAACUCGACAUAUAGUCGGGUUUAGCUAAUGCGUCCAGUUACCGCAUUAGCUUUAGCUUCCUCUUUUUUUUUUUUUUUAUACUUUGUAAUAAUGAUAAAUGAAUAUAAUUUUUAAUUUAAUAUUAUAUAAUAUUAUUUUUACUUUAUAAUUUUAAUAUAAAUUAAUAAAUUUAUUGUUUAAUAAUAUUAUAUUAUAUUUUAAUUUUUAUCAUAGUAAAUGUACAACUAAAAAAUGUAUUAUUUAAUUAUAUUACAUUAAAGGCGGAUGUACGGUACAGCAGCUUAAAUAAUAUAAUAUAAUAUAAUAUUAUUUAAUUUAUUAAAAUAAUUAAACUAGUUAUUUUUAAAUAAUUUAAUAUAACUAAUAAUAAAUAUUUAAAUAUGAAUAAAUUUGAAUAAUAUUAAUUAAAAAUUAAUACAAUACAGUAUAGUACCAAACAUUGUACAACAUUAUUAUAAUACAUUACUAAUACAACACAACAUAAUGUAAUAUACCUAUAUUAAAAUAAUGCAAUACAACAUAAUAUAAUACAACGUACCAAACGCACCCUUGUAUCCAUAUAGUACAAUAACAACAUAAGAAAAAAAUAUUAAAGAGAACACAAAAGUUCCGAGACUUUUAAGAUAAUUUUUUAUAUUUGUAACAAGCAUGUGCUAACUUUUUUGAAACCAUGUAUAUUUAUUUUAUGGAUCCCCUAAUAAUUUAUUACUACAUCUCUAUUAAAAUAAUUGAGGUCCUGCACUUUCAUUGGAAGAUAGGAGAAAAAAACAAUUGAUAAGAGAAGAAAACAAUUUAAAAUAUUUAUUGUUACUUAAAAAAAAUUAAUUUUCUUUUCCUAAAGUUAUUCCACAGACGGUAGUACAAAAUUAUGUGAUCACGCACGCACACAGUGAUAUGGUAAUUAUUGAAACAGAAAUAAAUUUUCUGUUUCCCAUCUGAAAUCUAUUACUAAUAUAAAGGAACAGAAAAAACUUUAAUUAUUAUUAUUUUUUCCAUGUAGGGCAAGGCAAACAUCACUAUCUUGUUAAAUUAAUAUUUAAAAUUAUCCCACCAAAAAUAAUUCUAACAAAUUAAAUAAAUAUUUACUAUGAGUUCAGCAUCUGGGUUCCCACUCCAUAAAUAUGCCAGCAUUUUAAAACAAGCAAGACUUAAGCGACAAAUACAAUUUUGUCCACGAGUGUAAAGGUCGCAUUAUAAGCCAAAGGAGAGCAGUUAAAAGGAAGAUAAAAUAUUACCGUAUUGAACUUGGUAUUUCUCUCUCUUCUAUUAUUAAUUUGUUGUUAAUUAUAACCUUUAGCGGGAUUUAAAAAAAGAAAAAGGCCCUUUCGUUUUCAUCAAACACCUUCUUCGUUUAACUAUUUGUGUGACAUCAUUUAUAUGAGUCCAUAAACAUUACAAUGCCAAAUGUGAAAUGGAUUGAGAACCACACGUCCUUUAUACGGCCACUCCACAAAUGUUUAUAAAAUUUUCCCCUCAUUCUCCUUAGAAGCCAGAAGCAGAGUCAGUCCUGUACCCCUUUACGUAUGCCUUGGACAUUAAGGCCUCCAUAAAUUAACAUAAACGAUUAGUACAAGAUGAUUUAACCACACAAUAUGUCAAAUUUACAUUUUGCAAUCAUUGAUACUUGGUGCUACAGUCAAAUUUAUAUUUAUUCAAGAUACCGGGUUCAAUAAUUAAAUUCACAUAAAAAGAAAGAUGCAUUCACCCUUAAUGGCCCAGGAGCCAACCAAAUUCCGCGUCCGUGAAGUGAGGCACCUUUCUGUAGCCCAUGGUCUGGCAAAUUCUUGUGUGAAGUCCCUUUCUCUUGCGCUUGCACCGCUGGCUCUGGCUCCAAAACUCGACACAUAUUAAUUUAAUUUGUUGUCGUUGCGGAUGAUGUGUAUAAGCUUUAUCGACAGAAUAAAUGAGAUGAAACGUGCAAAGAAGACUCAAGAACUCGACCAUUUUUGCUGAAAACUAGAGAAAUUAACUGAUGGUGCUGGACAAAUCGAUCACAGUAGCUAAGAAGAACUUGAUUUGAUUAUGUAAUCAAUUUAGUUUUUCGUUGCUUUUGUGGUUCUUUUGGGUAAGAGGGCUGGGGCAGUAACCAAAGUGCGCAUUGUAUAGUCAUAGAUUUAUAGUCAGUGUUUUGUUAGCGUGGGGUAAUGUAGAUUGUGUACUGAUUGAUAGAUAAAAUAAUGGAUUAAUUCACUUGGUAAAUUUUGCAAAAAAGAAAAAAAAAAAACAGCUUAAUUUACCAUCCUCUUUUGACAAACUUUGAAUUUUCUGACAUUCAAUUGAAGGUGGAAGCGGCAUCAUAGCUGUACUGAAGAAGAUCGUCAUAAGGUCCCUUUUGCCAGCCACCUGCUCUGUAUCAUUCUUUCUUGUCCCUCUCUUUCAAGUCGUCCAUCAACCUCAAAUUCAUAUUCUCAGCAAUUAAAAAUUUCAUAUUCAGUUCUCUACUUGAUUCUAAGCUCAGAACUACGAAGCGCAAGCAGCGUCUUUAAUUCGGCUAAAUGAUAUAUUGACUAAUUGAUUUAUUUGUUCGGAUUAUAAUGUUUAUUUCUCAUGAAUCUUUUCAUUGGUGAAAUAUUUUGAUGGGUUUUUUUAGUUGCUCCUUUAUCAUUCUUCGUUUAUUGGAGAAAUAUAUUAUACAACCAAAUAAUUAAAUUUUAAUAAUAAAAGAGUGUUAAGUUCACAUUCAAACCAAAGGAGAGCAGUUAAGGGAAGAUAAAAUGUUUAUUUUCCCCUCUUUCUCCUUAGAAGCCAGAAGCAGAGUCAGUCCUGUAACCCCUUACAUAUAUUUAUUUCUGUGUUUAUUUCUGUGUUAGUCGUGCAGAGUACAUCUGCUGAACAAUUCAGUUAUAUAAACAUUAAUAAACCAAGAAUCCACUGCUGAAAUUUUAUUAACUGAAAGUAGGGAACGAUUGACACACCAGACAACAAGAACAAGAUGCAAUUAAAUCUAAUGAAAAUUAAAAAAAGAAAAGAAAAAGAAAUACAUAUUAAAACAUAUUAAUAAAAAGGAAACUCAGUAAGUACGGCACCGGAAGAGAAAGCAUUUUGGGUGGCUUGAUCCUCCCAUUGUAGCUCUUCCCACCAUUCUUUCUCUCCCCGGAUGACAACUCGACGUUCCUUCGCGCUGCUGGAAUUGAGUGGGAGCUUCUUCAGCUGUGGGCAUUCACGUACUUCAAUUUUCUUCAGCUUUGGAAAGGGCAGGGGAUUCGGGUAAACGCUCUUUAAAUUUAUUCCCCCCCAUAAGGAUAGAAAUUCGAGUUCUGCGAAAACGUUAUGCUCUGACCCCACUAUCUCUGAAAUAUCUCUCAAUUUAUCAGCCCCGAUAAUUUCUUCCACGUAUUCACAAUACACUAUACGCAGCUCCUUGAGGUUUUGAACAAAAACAAGCCACGUUAAGUCCUUCGCUUUUUGGCAAUAAAAUAGAUCAACUGUGUCGAGACUGCGGAAACCACUUUGAAAAAGCUUCUUCACCUCUUCUGUGCUGUCAAUCUUCAUCUCCUCCAAAUCACUCUGAGAAAGACGCAACUCCUGAAGAUUCUCCAUAUAUGCUAGAUGUAAGACAUUGAACGGUGGCCUUGUAUACAUGCCACAUUCAACCCAUACAGAUUGAGUGAUGCUAACCAGCUUUGGAUAUUUCAAAAACUUUUGGACAGCAAGUGAACUUCGGAAGGACCAGCUUAAAACAUUUAAAUGCUUCAAACCCAGCAAUUCCUUCAUCAAAGGUUCAGCAUCAUCACAUAGAACGUUACCUUCUUCUUCCUCUAUUACGCCCCAGCGACCGGACGCAAACAACCUGAGUUCCUCCAACUUUGAAAAGCCAGAUAUCAAUUGAUGUGGAAUUAUGGACAAGUACUCUGUAUAGUCCAAGUUCAAAUAUCUCAACUUCUCCAACGCCUUCAGCUCUUGCGGCAACCCAGUUAUGUGAGUCGAUGAUAGAUCAAGAUGAUGCAAUGAAACCAAACCUGAAAUCCCCGAAGGUAGUGUACUUAGGGGAAAAUUUCCUCUUAGACUUAAUACUCUAAGAGACGACAUAGAUUGAAAGAAGCCAUCAGUGAUCUCCUCAAUCCGAUUUUCAUCCAGCAGUAAAGUUACGAGACGCGGACACGUGGGAAUUUCCGAUAGGCUUUCAAUUUUAUUUUCCAUCAGAGAUACCCGUUUGGCACCUUCCCAUUCUUCAACCUUUGGUGCUUCGGUCAAUUCAACUCCAGCGCGAACCAGAAAGUUCUGCUCCUCCUUGUCUACCGUGCACGCUAUCCAUAAUGACAUCUCACGAAUCAUAUCGUGCAUCUUUACAUGAUCAUCGCCUUCUUCCUCCAAUAAGCAUGCUUGAAGAAGGUCAUCAAUAAAAUCGCAUCCAUCAUCAAAAUCACACGCAAAUCCUUCACUAAUCCAAUAAUCAAUCAAUUGCCUUUUAGGAAUUUCGUAGUCUUCAGGAUACAAACAGCAAUACAGGAGACAGGAACGAAGUUCAUCCGUAGACAAAC
RNAcentral lists this long non-coding RNA (8630 nucleotides) under Citrus sinensis (sweet orange). RNAcentral describes it as "long non-coding RNA (CSIN_LNC004754)". The record is from RNAcentral. Lineage: Eukaryota; Viridiplantae; Streptophyta; Magnoliopsida; Sapindales; Rutaceae.